AGAUUAAGUUAUUAAGGGCGCACGGUGGAUGCCUUGGCACUAGAAGCCGAUGAAGGACGUUACUAACGACGAUAUGCUUUGGGUAGCUGUAAGUAAGCGUUGAUCCAGAGAUUUCCGAAUGGGGGAACCCAACAUGAGUUAUGUCAUGUUAUCGACAUGUGAAUUCAUAGCAUGUCAGAAGGCAGACCCGGAGAACUGAAACAUCUUAGUACCCGGAGGAAGAGAAAGAAAAAUCGAUUCCCUGAGUAGCGGCGAGCGAAACGGGAAAAGCCCAAACCAACAAGCUUGCUUGUUGGGGUUGUAGGACACUCUAUACGGAGUUACAAAAGAACAUGUUAGACGAAUCAUCUGGAAAGAUGAAUCAAAGAAGGUAAUAAUCCUGUAGUCGAAAACAUAUUCUCUCUUGAGUGGAUCCUGAGUACGACGGAGCACGUGAAAUUCCGUCGGAAUCUGGGAGGACCAUCUCCUAAGGCUAAAUACUCUCUAGUGACCGAUAGUGAACCAGUACCGUGAGGGAAAGGUGAAAAGUACCCCGGAAGGGGAGUGAAAGAGAACUUGAAACCGUGUGCUUACAAGUAGUCAGAGCCCGUUAAUGGGUGAUGGCGUGCCUUUUGUAGAAUGAACCGGCGAGUUACGAUCUGAUGCAAGGUUAAGCAGCAAAUGUGGAGCCGCAGCGAAAGCGAGUCUGAAUAGGGCGUUGAGUAUUUGGUCGUAGACCCGAAACCAGGUGAUCUACCCUUGGUCAGGUUGAAGUUCAGGUAACACUGAAUGGAGGACCGAACCGACUUACGUUGAAAAGUGAGCGGAUGAACUGAGGGUAGCGGAGAAAUUCCAAUCGAACUUGGAGAUAGCUGGUUCUCUCCGAAAUAGCUUUAGGGCUAGCCUCAAGUGAUGAUUAUUGGAGGUAGAGCACUGUUUGGACGAGGGGCCCCUCUCGGGUUACCGAAUUCAGACAAACUCCGAAUGCCAAUUAAUUUAACUUGGGAGUCAGAACAUGGGUGAUAAGGUCCGUGUUCGAAAGGGAAACAGCCCAGACCACCAGCUAAGGUCCCAAAAUAUAUGUUAAGUGGAAAAGGAUGUGGCGUUGCCCAGACAACUAGGAUGUUGGCUUAGAAGCAGCCAUCAUUUAAAGAGUGCGUAAUAGCUCACUAGUCGAGUGACACUGCGCCGAAAAUGUACCGGGGCUAAACAUAUUACCGAAGCUGUGGAUUGUCCUUUGGACAAUGGUAGGAGAGCGUUCUAAGGGCGUCGAAGCAUGAUCGCAAGGACAUGUGGAGCGCUUAGAAGUGAGAAUGCCGGUGUGAGUAGCGAAAGACGGGUGAGAAUCCCGUCCACCGAUUGACUAAGGUUUCCAGAGGAAGGCUCGUCCGCUCUGGGUUAGUCGGGUCCUAAGCUGAGGCCGACAGGCGUAGGCGAUGGAUAACAGGUUGAUAUUCCUGUACCACCUAGUAUCGUUUUAAUCGAUGGGGGGACGCAGUAGGAUAGGCGAAGCGUGCUGUUGGAGUGCACGUCCAAGCAGUAAGGCUGAGUGUUAGGCAAAUCCGGCACUCAUAAGGCUGAGCUGUGAUGGGGAGAGGAAAUUGUUUCCUCGAGUCGUUGAUUUCACACUGCCGAGAAAAGCCUCUAGAUAGAUAACAGGUGCCCGUACCGCAAACCGACACAGGUAGUCAAGAUGAGAAUUCUAAGGUGAGCGAGCGAACUCUCGUUAAGGAACUCGGCAAAAUGACCCCGUAACUUCGGGAGAAGGGGUGCUCUUUAGGGUUCACGCCCAGAAGAGCCGCAGUGAAUAGGCCCAAGCGACUGUUUAUCAAAAACACAGGUCUCUGCUAAACCGUAAGGUGAUGUAUAGGGGCUGACGCCUGCCCGGUGCUGGAAGGUUAAGAGGAGUGGUUAGCUUCUGCGAAGCUACGAAUCGAAGCCCCAGUAAACGGCGGCCGUAACUAUAACGGUCCUAAGGUAGCGAAAUUCCUUGUCGGGUAAGUUCCGACCCGCACGAAAGGCGUAACGAUUUGGGCACUGUCUCAACGAGAGACUCGGUGAAAUCAUAGUACCUGUGAAGAUGCAGGUUACCCGCGACAGGACGGAAAGACCCCGUGGAGCUUUACUGUAGCCUGAUAUUGAAAUUCGGCACAGCUUGUACAGGAUAGGUAGGAGCCUUUGAAACGUGAGCGCUAGCUUACGUGGAGGCGUUGGUGGGAUACUACCCUAGCUGUGUUGGCUUUCUAACCCGCACCACUUAUCGUGGUGGGAGACAGUGUCAGGCGGGCAGUUUGACUGGGGCGGUCGCCUCCUAAAAGGUAACGGAGGCGCUCAAAGGUUCCCUCAGAAUGGUUGGAAAUCAUUCAUAGAGUGUAAAGGCAUAAGGGAGCUUGACUGCGAGACCUACAAGUCGAGCAGGGUCGAAAGACGGACUUAGUGAUCCGGUGGUUCCGCAUGGAAGGGCCAUCGCUCAACGGAUAAAAGCUACCCCGGGGAUAACAGGCUUAUCUCCCCCAAGAGUUCACAUCGACGGGGAGGUUUGGCACCUCGAUGUCGGCUCAUCGCAUCCUGGGGCUGUAGUCGGUCCCAAGGGUUGGGCUGUUCGCCCAUUAAAGCGGUACGCGAGCUGGGUUCAGAACGUCGUGAGACAGUUCGGUCCCUAUCCGUCGUGGGCGUAGGAAAUUUGAGAGGAGCUGUCCUUAGUACGAGAGGACCGGGAUGGACAUACCUCUGGUGUACCAGUUGUCGUGCCAACGGCAUAGCUGGGUAGCUAUGUAUGGACGGGAUAAGUGCUGAAAGCAUCUAAGCAUGAAGCCCCCCUCAAGAUGAGAUUUCCCAACUUCGGUUAUAAGAUCCCUCGAAGAUGACGAGGUUAAUAGGUUCGAGGUGGAAGCGUGGUGACACGUGGAGCUGACGAAUACUAAUCGAUCGAAGACUUAAUCAAUUUUUAAA
Molecule: ribosomal RNA, 2931 nt
Filed under: Staphylococcus epidermidis
Lineage: Bacteria; Bacillati; Bacillota; Bacilli; Caryophanales; Staphylococcaceae
Description: bacterial LSU rRNA
Rfam family: Bacterial large subunit ribosomal RNA
Source: RNAcentral